ACAUAUUCUUUUUCUGGUUUUUUACAGUGCUGGAAAUCCUCAUUAUGAGGGAGAGGCUGACAUGGUGAAAGGCAGAGCCUCAGUCCAGAGGGAGAUCUCUAAAUAGGAAGACUGGAACAUCAGGAUGUUUACAAAGCCCAGUAAGUAGAAGUGUCAGUGGCACCUGGUGCGCAGGGGUGAGGCAGGGAUAACCCUAAGCAUUGGUUCAGGCUAAGAAGUGACCGGUGGAGCUGCUUGAUAUGAUUUGGAGGUGACUGUGAACAUGAGCUUGAACAUGGCCCAAAAAUAAUUCUCAUUGUCCAUAAUGCAAACUGCUCACUGGGCCAUAAAAGAAGGACGGUGGCCAGCCCAGUGGAGGGAUGUUGGAGACUGUUGUAUAGCUGUGAGUCUGAAAAGCUCUUCAAUAUGAUCCAUUAUACUAUGGAGAAAUUGAUAAUGAUGCUGGCAAAGUUCAGGAAAGAUCCCUUCACAACCUUCCACAAAACUGCUGAGGUCACAGGUAGUGAGAACAGUGGAAAAACAAGUGUUCCACCAGGGAGACUGAAGUGCACAGGCAUGCUGGCAGAAGACAGCAGGCAAGAUGUCUUGCUAUAUGUUAGGCACCAGAGUGAACAUGCUUGCUGGCAUGGCCUGAAUAACUUAGGCCUGAAUAACUUACUGCCUGAAUGGGGCAGCCAUGAGAGCUGUGCCAGCGUGCAGAGUACCAGCAGCACCGUCCCUUCUGCUUCCUCCCAGGGCCAUCACUCCCAGCAAGCUGAGUUUCCUGGAUGUUAUUGAAACAGGAUAAUCACUUACUCAUGUGCAACCAACAACCACAUGGAAGCUGCUUACAAAAGAAGCAGCCUUUUCUUUGCUAACAAUGGAACUCCUUACUGUUUUACUUUUCCAACAAAAAUUUCGCAAACAUAGUAAUUAAAUUUC
Pseudopipra pipra is the source of this 921-nucleotide long non-coding RNA. RefSeq lists it as uncharacterized. The transcript has 2 exons. Lineage: Eukaryota; Metazoa; Chordata; Aves; Passeriformes; Pipridae. The record is from RefSeq and is a predicted model, not a curated record.